This 475-nucleotide long non-coding RNA is filed under the name Rattus norvegicus (Norway rat). Its description in RNAcentral is "long non-coding RNA NONRATT026095". The record is from RNAcentral. Lineage: Eukaryota; Metazoa; Chordata; Mammalia; Rodentia; Muridae.
UGAGCUGUUGGACAGUAGCUCACCCACCAGGAGCUCGCGCACCACCUCAGGGCUCAGGGUCAGUCGCUGGUACUCGGGGAUGUCAAGGAUGAACCAGAAGAAGCAGAUAAGGGGUCCCUCCCUAUGCAGACAGAAGCGAAAGGGGCCUGAAGGCCUAUCCUCGCCCAGCCCCUCCCCCAAGGAACCAACUGAGACUCAGACCCGCCAGGCACCCGCUAUACUUUCUCCCCAUUCCCACCCAUAGGAGGAGAGAUAGAGUCACAGGAGGUCAUAGGCCACUUGGCAACUGGCAGAACCAGAUACAACCAGGCAAGCCAAGUCCUGGACUGCGUCCUGGGCCACGUGCCUUCAAGCACACUCUGAACCUUGACCCACUCACACCAGGCAUCUCCAGUCACAACCUGUCACAACAACACCGCCAUCUGUAGAUGACAAGACCAAACUCAAUAAAGGGGAAUCACAUGUCGGAGGCUAA